UUCCUACGGGGGGCAGCAGUGGGGAAUAUUGCACAAUGGGGGAAACCCUGAUGCAGCAACGCCGCGUGAGUGAAGAAGGUUUUCGGAUUGUAAAGCUCUGUUAGCAGGGAAGAGGAAGGACGGGACCUGCAGAGGAAGCCACGGCUAACUAAGUGCCAGCAGGCGCGGGAAUACGGAGGUGGCAAGCGGUGUUCGGAAUAACUUGGCGUAAAGGAUGCGUAGGCGGUUAAAACAGUUAU
Molecule: ribosomal RNA, 239 nt
Filed under: uncultured bacterium
Lineage: Bacteria
Description: partial 16S ribosomal RNA
Rfam family: Bacterial small subunit ribosomal RNA
Source: RNAcentral